This 451-nucleotide long non-coding RNA is filed under the name Mytilus galloprovincialis (Mediterranean mussel). The record is from RNAcentral. Lineage: Eukaryota; Metazoa; Mollusca; Bivalvia; Mytilida; Mytilidae.
AAAAUAUCCAGUAAUAUUUACUGCUGAAGCUAAAUCAAUCCAACGAACAUCGGCACCAUGAUAGGAGACGUAAUUUCGAUUGAAUUUUCCAAGGACCCUUUACAUCGUUAUUGGGAAACGAAGUGUGUUAAAACGUCGGUCAAAUCUGAAAUCGAUUUUGUCAAGUCAUUGGGCAUUUAUUUUCACACAAGAUCGUAUGUAACAUUAUGCACAUAGGAAAAAUAAUAGACCCCCGGCGCAAUCUCUUUGAAAAUUGUAUUUUCCUUUUUUAAACAAGACGAAACAAGCCUACAGAUUAUGUUUGCUUACAUCCCGUUGGAAACAAAUACAAUGUUUAGACCUAGUAUUUCGUAUAUCCGGCUGUAUGGGCGUGAUCACAUGUUAGUCACAUGUUUCACGUAUGACCGGAAAUGAUUAGAACUUAACGACAAAAACAAUUUUAAUAAAUAAA